AAACCCUAAUCUAAACUUGAAACCCGCCUCUUUCUCUCACCUCCUCUCUUUCUCUCACGGUUGUUCUCUUUCUCUGCCUCCCCCUCCACCUCCCCCUCUCCCCCACUUUUUUUCUUGUUAAAAAUCAACAUCAACGCAUCAACACAACAACAUCAGCGCAUCAAGCCUUCAAUUUUGGAUCGAUUAUAAGGAAUUUGCUCCAGUUUAGAUUUCCAGAUCUAGUAUUAUGGUGAAUAACUCGAGAGAACAAAGUAAUUGAAGUAAGAAGCUAGGGAGCAUGAGCAGCGUCGGAAGUUACAGAUUUCCGUCUUUCUGGUCCAGUUUGUUUGAAUUAGUAAUUUGGUGAUUUUUAAAUUUUCAGAUCUAGUCUCUAUUAGAAAUUUUGGUAUGUAAUUAUUUGAAUUUUUAUUUUUGUAGUUGGGUUGGAUUUA
Molecule: long non-coding RNA, 431 nt
Organism: Spinacia oleracea (spinach)
Lineage: Eukaryota; Viridiplantae; Streptophyta; Magnoliopsida; Caryophyllales; Amaranthaceae
Exons: 2
Source: RefSeq, a predicted model, not a curated record